RNAcentral lists this ribosomal RNA (494 nucleotides) under uncultured bacterium. Its description in RNAcentral is "partial 16S ribosomal RNA". It matches the Rfam family "Bacterial small subunit ribosomal RNA", at positions 28 to 507 of the family's 1533-position model. The record is from RNAcentral.
GACGAACGCUGGCGGCGUGCUUAACACAUGCGAGUCGAACGGUAAGGCGCCUUUUUCUUUGUGGGUUGUGGAUGAUUGACUAACGGGUGGGUAACACAUGAGUAACUUACCCCCUUCUUCUUGAGAACUACAUGAAGGAGUCUCGAAUACGUUAUAGUCUGGGUCGGUCGCAGGAUGGUUCGGGGGAAGACGUUGUUUCGGUGGGUGGUGGGCUCGCGGCCUCUUAGCUUGUUGGUGGUGGGGUGAUGUACCAAGGCGGUGACGGGUGGUCGGCGUGCGAGGGUGGACGGUCACACUGGGACUGAGACACGGCGCAGACGACUACGGGAGGCAGCAGCGGGGAAUAUUGCACAAUGGGGGCAAGCCUGAUGCAGCGACGCCGCGUGAGGGAUGGAGGCCUUCGGGUUGUGAAACUCUUUCGCCAGUGAAGCAGGCCUGCCUCGUUUGUGGGUGGGUUGACGGUAGUUGGAUAAGAAGCGCCGGCUAACUACGUG